Molecule: ribosomal RNA, 265 nt
Filed under: uncultured bacterium
Lineage: Bacteria
Description: partial 16S ribosomal RNA
Rfam family: Bacterial small subunit ribosomal RNA
Source: RNAcentral
GUCCACGCCGUAAACGAUGAAUGCUAGGUGUUAGGGGUUUCAAUACCCUUGGUGCCGAAGUUAACACAUUAAGCAUUCCGCCUGGGGAGUACGCUCGCAAGAGUGAAACUCAAAGGAAUUGACGGGGACCCCGCACAAGCAGUGGAGUAUGUGGUUUAAUUCGAAGCAACGCGAAGAACCUUACCAGGUCUUGACAUCCCUCUGAAUACUCUAGAGAUAGGGUAGGCCUUCGGGACAGAGGAGACAGGUGGUGCAUGGUUGUCGU